This 917-nucleotide ribosomal RNA is filed under the name fungal sp. LF52. RNAcentral's name for it is "eukaryotic LSU rRNA". It matches the Rfam family "Eukaryotic large subunit ribosomal RNA", at positions 29 to 967 of the family's 3401-position model. The record is from RNAcentral. Lineage: Eukaryota; Fungi.
GGAACUUAAGCAUAUCAAUAAGCGGAGGAAAAGAAACCAACAGGGAUUGCCCUAGUAACGGCGAGUGAAGCGGCAACAGCUCAAAUUUGAAAUCUGGCUCUUUUAGAGUCCGAGUUGUAAUUUGCAGAGGGCGCUUUGGCAUUGGUAGCGGUCCAAGUUCUUUGGAACAGGACGUCAUAGAGGGUGAGAAUCCCGUAUAUGGUCGCUAACCUUUGCUGUGUAAAGCCCCUUCGACGAGUCGAGUUGUUUGGGAAUGCAGCUCUAAAUGGGAGGUAAAUUUCUUCUAAAGCUAAAUACUGGCCAGAGACCGAUAGCGCACAAGUAGAGUGAUCGAAAGAUGAAAAGCACUUUGGAAAGAGAGUCAAACAGCACGUGAAAUUGUUGAAAGGGAAGCGCUUGCAGCCAGACUUGCCUGUAGUUGCUUAUCCGGACUUUUGUCCGGUGCACUCUUCUGUAGGCAGGCCAGCAUCAGUUUGGGCGGUUGGAUAAAGGUCUCUGUCACGUACCUCUCUUCGGGGAGGCCUUAUAGGGGAGACGACAUGCAACCAGCCUGGACUGAGGUCCGCGCAUCUGCUAGGAUGCUGGCGUAAUGGCUGUAAGCGGCCCGUCUUGAAACACGGACCAAGGAGUCUAACAUCUAUGCGAGUGUUUGGGUGUCAAGCCCAGACGCGUAAUGAAAGUGAACGGAGGUGGGAACCUUUUAGGUGCACCAUCGACCGAUCCUGAUGUCUUCGGAUGGAUUUGAGUAAGAGCAUGGCUGUUGGGACCCGAAAGAUGGUGAACUAUGCUUGAAUAGGGUGAAGCCAGAGGAAACUCUGGUGGAGGCUCGCAGCGGUUCUGACGUGCAAAUCGAUCGUCAAAUUUGGGCAUAGGGGCGAAAGACUAAUCGAACUAUCUAGUAGCUGGUCCUGGCCAGU